UUUUGCGCACUUGUUGUUUCCUGGGCGGGUUCGCUCGCCACCAGGACCACCAUAUAAACCUUUUUUAUGCAGUUGCAAUCAGCGUCAGUAUAACAAAUGUAAAUCAUUUACAACUUUCAACAACGGAUCUCUUGGUUCUGGCAUCGAUGAAGAACGCAGCGAAAUGCGAUACGUAGUGUGAAUUGCAGAAUUCAGUGAAUCAUCGAAUCUUUGAACGCACAUUGCGCCCUUUGGUAUUCCAAAGGGCAUGCCUGUUCGAGCGUCAUUUGUACCCUCAAGCUUUGCUUGGUGUUGGGCGUUUUUGUCCUUGGGUUCGCCCAAAGACUCGCCUUAAAAUGAUUGGCAGCCGGCCUACUGGUUUCGCAGCGCAGCACAUUUUUGCGCUUGCAAUCAGCAAAAGAGGACG
RNAcentral lists this small RNA (406 nucleotides) under Curvularia australiensis. Its description in RNAcentral is "eukaryotic LSU rRNA". The stretch from base 112 to 265 matches the Rfam family "5.8S ribosomal RNA". The record is from RNAcentral. Lineage: Eukaryota; Fungi; Ascomycota; Dothideomycetes; Pleosporales; Pleosporaceae.